Long non-coding RNA from Crotalus tigris (Tiger rattlesnake), 2448 nucleotides. RefSeq lists it as uncharacterized. The record is from RefSeq and is a predicted model, not a curated record. The transcript has 2 exons. Lineage: Eukaryota; Metazoa; Chordata; Lepidosauria; Squamata; Viperidae.
AGUAACCUGAUCUGGGAAAAAAGGUUCCAAGAUUAAAAGUCACACUCUGCCACUGUUGCUCAGAACCUGAUGAACAUGAGGAUAUCACCAUGCAUUAUUGUGCUUGGAAUGAGACAUUUCUCAUAAGUGUCUUCAACUUUACUGGAAUAUAUUAAAUUGGUCAUGGUGUAUUGGAAUUUUGGAAAUUGCUGACCCAAUAUAUCUCAAAGGUACAAGAUGGAUGAGAAACAAUGAUAGAUCAUGUUUAGAUCGUAUUGAAACCUUUGGUGUCUAGGAUAACCAAUCAGGAACUAUUUGGAGGUUAACCUGGGCUGAGGGUAAUCUUACUUUUCAGAUCUAGAAGAACUUCUAGAACAUCUAGGACCUCUCAUGUCUAUACCAAACUCCUUUCACCACAUGGAGGUUCACCUCAUUUAACAAUCAGCAUGCACUUUCUGGAAGAUGGUGUUAUUUUGGACCUGGAAAACACAAAAGCACUGUUAUGAAUCCUUUCUUCAGAGACAAGGAACAACCAAGUUUAUAAAGACAGGCUUUAAGUGUUUCCAAACCAGGCUGCUAUUGGCAUUUAAUGCCAAUAAGGCAGCCCCUCAAUGUAAAAUUAUCCCUCUUCAUAACAAAGUUUAAGGAAAAGACUUCACAAGUGACUUUUUGAUUUUACAAAUGCCACGGCAUCUAGGUUGGCAGGAGGACUGAUUCAUGCCUAAGGGAUGGACCACAAGGAUCUCAAGGGUAGCAUUCCAUACAGUGACCUAUCCUCAAUCAAAUUAUGAAAUGUAUCAAGGGCCAUCAAGCCUUUCUUUAACUUUGCCCAAAGAAUUUGCCCGAUUUUAUUCCCCUUCCUAAGAUCUAUUAGAUAAAGCUGAUGGAGUACAAGCAUCUCCAUUUAUCAUCACAACAACAUGGAGGCCAAUACUACACAUAGCCACCAUGCUGAUCAAUAAUGACACCAUUGUUAUCAUUCCGUGAAUUUCAUUUCUUUCUGAGUUUUCACUGCCAAUUCGCAUGUGCUCCAGCGUAAAUCUAUGGAUAUGGUCCUAAGUAAUCACAACCUGUUUGUCUUGCAACAGAUGGAAUUCAGAUAGACUAGAUACAUCAGUUGGGAGCCACAAGGCUAUAUAUAUGUUUUAAAUAAAUAAAAUAAAUAAAUUUUAAUCAGAAAUAAAUGAAUUCCCAAUAGCCUGUUGCAUAUACACAACUAUGGAACUGACAUUUCAGCAUCUGUACAACUAAGGCCGUAAGAAGACAAAUAAACAGACAAAGAGGAACUGCCCACAGAAGGAAUGUAAAGGUUGAUCCAUUCCCCAUGAAUUCUAGUAGAAAAUUAUGCUUUUAGUGGAAAUUACAGUAUGUCUCCUGAAUUCUAGUUAAUAAAAACCCAGGUGUAACCUUCCCUGGGCUGCCAACAUGUUCAUUAUAUGAUUAAUUAAAACUUCUGGAAGAGUUUCCCUACUGAUAAUCAGGGAGGUCCUUACACCCCAAAAUGAUCUAGUGCCUUAAUUUAUAAGAAACCACUUUAAUUUAGACAAAAGUGCCAACACUUCUCAGUGUUCUACAACUGGCUAUAUCACUAGAAGCUAUUUUGUGACUCUUCUGUAUAAUUUAGCGUAAAAAUGAACGAUGGCUCUGAUCUGGCCUGUUUUCUUCACUUAUCAGUGGGACUGCAUCCAUUGGAUUUUCUUGAAUGAUCUCCUUGUCCAUGAAUGGCUUCCGUGAUGUCCAAGUAUGAACCACUCACACCUCAUCAUUUUUGUUCUUCCGGAAUACGACAUUUGCUCCAGAUCCAUUUUGAACUUUUAUGAAACCCAGUUCAUUGUCCAAGGUGGGAUCUAUCUUCAAUGAACUGUUGUGAAAAUGAGGGGAGGUUUUUGUAUGGCCGUAUGUCACUGUGGUUCAUCUUCGGAGGUGGAACCCAAUUAAUCGUCACAGGUUAACCCACAGUAUCACCUACUUUGAAUGUCUAUAUUCCAUCUCAGGAAGAGAUCAAAAGCCUGGAUAAGGCCACCAUGCUGUGUCUCUUAAGCAACUUUUACCCACCUGGCUUUACCCUGAAAUGGAAGGGUGACAAUAAUCAAGAGAUCACCUCUGGAGUGGAGACCACCAAAGCCAAUAAGCAAGGUGACAAAUAUUUUGCCAGCAGUUACCUGACAAUGAGCGCAUCGGAUUAUGAAAAGCAUGAUGCUUACCCCUGUGAAGUGAGGCAUGGAGAAAACACCCAUGUGAAGACUGUGUCAAGGUCUGGAAGUUGUUAACUCCAUCAUGAAUUCCUCUGACCCUACUCCAGCGCUCUCUCUCUCUUUUUUUUUUUCCUUUGCUGAUUCUAGUUUGAUCAAUAACAUCUAUUUCUGCAUCAUCUAGUCACAGUCUGUAGCCUCCCGUUGAAAUCUAUCCACCUCCCAUUGUCCUCUUCAUUUCUACCUUUAGAAGUUCAAUAAAGAUGUGUACAUUUCA